ACCCGGGCACCCUGCGAGAAACUCGGCUCUGACGUAUUUCUGAACGAAAGUGCGGGUCCCAGGGCACUGCACGAGGCCACAGUAUCCACUGACUAGGACCUGAGUGCGCAUUAAAGUGCUGCUAGGUGUCACACUCCAACCUAUGCUCUGCAGAUGCAGGGGCUCUAAGACAGGUUCUUGCCUCAAGGUUACAAGAUCACAGGUAUCUUAUUUCUAUGGUUCCGUCCUUACUUCAUUCAACAAAUAUUUAAUGAGUGUCUGUUUUAAAAAGGCAUUCUGCAUGGAACUGGAGCUGCAGCAGUAAUCAAAGUACACAAAAUCCAGGCCAUUGGAAGCUUACGUUCUGAGGUAGAGAGGAAAUGAACAAAUAAAUAAACUGAUCGUGGUCAAGAGAUUGGAAAAUUAUUUUCCAGGAAAACCAUUGGUCCAAGAGAAAAGACCUACGGAUAAUGACUUGAAGAAAAAUCCUCCAACGAAUUAGCCAAGAUCUCAUUUUAUCACUCUGUAGGGAGGCUGUCAGCCCUCCACCAAUACUACGCUGUAGGACGGACGGACGGACGGACGGACUGACGCAUCAGUGAAUGAUCGACUGAGAACGCGCACGGAGGACCAGGAGAGAA
Long non-coding RNA from Miniopterus natalensis, 620 nucleotides. RefSeq lists it as uncharacterized. NCBI's taxonomy places the organism in Eukaryota, Metazoa, Chordata, Mammalia, Chiroptera, Miniopteridae. The record is from RefSeq and is a predicted model, not a curated record.